UAGUCGCACGAGCGCACCCUUGCUCCCUAGUUUGCCAGCACUUCAGGCUGGGAACUCUAGGGAGACUGGCGGGUGNAUUAACCGGGAAGAAGGUGGGGAUGACGUCCAGUCAUCAUGGCCCUUAUGGGGAGGGCUACCCACGUGCUNCAAUGGCCGGUACAGAGGGCGGCGAAGCCGCGAGGGGGAACGAAUCUCAGAAAACCGGUCGUAGUCCGGAUUGCAGUCUGCAACUCGACUGCAUGAAGCCGGAAUCGCUAGUAAUUGCGGAUCAGAACGCCGCGGUGAAUACGUUCCCGGGCCUUGUACACACCGCCCGUCACACCAUGGGAGUGGGCUGUACCAGAAGUAGGUAGUCUAACCUUCAGGAGGACGCUUACCAAGGUGUGGUUCAUGACUGGAGUGAAGUCUUAACAAGGUAUCCCUAGGGGAACCUGGUGCUGGAUCACCUCCUUU
RNAcentral lists this ribosomal RNA (453 nucleotides) under uncultured Chromatiales bacterium. RNAcentral's name for it is "bacterial SSU rRNA". It matches the Rfam family "Bacterial small subunit ribosomal RNA", at positions 1082 to 1533 of the family's 1533-position model. The record is from RNAcentral. Lineage: Bacteria; Pseudomonadati; Pseudomonadota; Gammaproteobacteria; Chromatiales.